AAAAAAGCUCCUAAAAUUCCCAUGUAGCCUGGCUGCUGGCUGCCAGGGUGGCAGGUUAAGUUAACUGAAUGCAUGAAGAUGAAUGAGGACUUUCUUAGCAAAUCUGAAAUUAACUGGGAGAGAAAAUGAGUACAACUGAUCCAAUAGUAAAAAUGAGAGAUGGGAUUGGCUCAGCAGUUAAGAGCACUGGCUGCUCUUCCAGAGGUCCUGAGUUCAAUUUCCAGCAACCACAUGGUGGCUCACAAACAUCUGUAAUGGGGUCUGAUGCUCUCUUAUGGCAUGCAGGAUUUCCUGGAUCAGAAAACAGCUGUAAAAAGAUCCCAAGAGGAGACGAGACUUGGAAUUCGCACCAAAAAUUUCGGCAAAGUUGUGUGUGCUGUGUGCCAUGUGCCAUGAGCGCUCAAAGCAUCAGCUCAAAACAUAACAGCCGCUCCUAUUCCAAAAUGCUAUGCUCGCACAUGGAAAAACUGACAAACUGAAUUUGAAAGAGGCAGGAGCCAGAACACUCACCGGAAUAGCCAGGCCUAGGGAAAGCAUUCCAGGAAGAUCUCAGAAGCAAGCCUGGCAGAAUUGACUCUGGGAACGUCAAGUUUUGCAACAGGCACAUGUUUUAAUUUUUUAAGCUACCUCUUGAGACUGGCCUUAGCCAUAGUCAUCCUUUUAUUAUGUGGGUUGCCUGGAAAAUGCCAUUUAACGUUCCUGAGAACACUGCAGAGUCAAAUCAAACCAAACAUCUCAAUACCAGCUGACAAGAAUCUUGGCCUGUGACUCUCAAAAGCAAAAAUGCUUCAAAAAUAAAGAAAGGGAGAUGGAGCUGCCCAUGGAACCUUCCAGAAACAAUUCUCUGAACCAAGGGCUCUGAACCUAUUGAAGAACUAAUAAGGACAAACAAGACAGUCAUUUGGAUCUGGGACUUGGGAAAGAAGCAAGGCUUAUCGCUGAGGCAAUUGUUGUCCUGAGAGACCUGGUGCAGAUAAAUGCUAUAGGGUCCUAAAAGGUUAUAACAAGGGAAAGUUCUUCUCUGUGUGUGUUGGGUGGGUGGGUGAGAUCAGAUUCAAGAGAUUUGAAUAUUCAUGUGUGCUCUGCAUCCCCACCCUCCAUCCCCAGAGAGGUCACUGUUGAGCCUGAAUCCCUGUGGGCUCUUUAUCUUAGCCCAAUGCCUGUGGUCAUGAACAAUGCUGUUUCUAGAUAUCAGAACUCUAGAAGACUGAUUACUAGAGAGACUGAGACAGAGACAAAGACAGAGAGACAGGGACCUUUUACUCUGAAUUUCAGUGUCUGCUUUAAAUGAGAGCUCAGAGAUCUGGAUGAAUCAUUCAUGACCAGAGGGAAAUUUUUAAGAUCUGGCUAUCACAGGGGCUGGGAAAAUGGCUCAGUGACUAGGAGCACUGGCUACUCUUCCAGAGGACCCGGGUUCAAUUUCCAGCAACC
RNAcentral lists this long non-coding RNA (1431 nucleotides) under Mus musculus (house mouse). Its description in RNAcentral is "predicted gene, 48022". The record is from RNAcentral. Lineage: Eukaryota; Metazoa; Chordata; Mammalia; Rodentia; Muridae.